RNAcentral lists this ribosomal RNA (253 nucleotides) under uncultured bacterium. RNAcentral describes it as "partial 16S ribosomal RNA". It matches the Rfam family "Bacterial small subunit ribosomal RNA", at positions 524 to 776 of the family's 1533-position model. The record is from RNAcentral.
GACAGAGGGUGCAAACGUUGUUCGGAAUUACUGGGCGUGAAGCGCGUGUAGGCUGCUCAGAAAGUCGGAUGUGAAAGCCCUGGGCUUAACCUAGGAAGUGCAUUCGAAACUUCUGAGCUUGAGUUCUGGAGAGGAAGGCGGAAUUCUCGGUGUAGAGGUGAAAUUCGUAGAUAUCGAGAGGAACACCGGUGGCGAAGGCGGCCUUCUGGACAGUGACUGACGCUGAGACGCGAAAGCGUGGGGAGCAAACAGG